Molecule: long non-coding RNA, 1509 nt
Organism: Hippocampus comes (tiger tail seahorse)
Lineage: Eukaryota; Metazoa; Chordata; Actinopteri; Syngnathiformes; Syngnathidae
Exons: 3
Source: RefSeq, a predicted model, not a curated record
AAAAUGGAUGGAUGGAUUUUAAACCCAAUUUAAAACCCAAUUUGCGCGGCAGCUGUUCUCUGGUGUUGUUUACAAUCAUGCCAAAUAUGAAUGAUGAAAAGAAAUCAAAAUGAUGCCUCAUUAUCAUGAAAAAUAUCAUUUUGCUGACGAAUGACAGGAGACUCUAAAAAAAGUGCGGAUUAAGCACUGACGGAAAUGCGUUUUCAUCUGCCAAUGUAAUCGUCAUUAACGAGGUCAAAUACCGACGGACGUCUCAGAAGAAGGAGAAGAAGGCAAUAACGACAAAGAGCAUUUAUAGAUAGGAAUAAGAGUGCAAGCUACCUGGAUAAAUAUAUCGCUAGAUAUCGCCACGAUAACUAGGCACUCUGAAGCGGCCACGCCGGCCUGUAGCUCCGGUCCACAUGCUGGCUGUCAGAUCAGGCUUUAAAAAAAAUAAAUAAAAUAAAAUAAAAAUCCCCUCCCUUGCCCUUCUGCCUAUCUCUGUGACAUGCGCACACUCCGAGGUGACACGAGAUGCUCUUCAGAGACCACAUGAGCUUCGGUCCACGUUAGCCGUCAAGUCGGACUGAAAAAAAGAAAUAAUGAACCCCCCCCCCCACCCCUCUCCUUGCUCUUCCGCCUUUCUCUAUGUCACAUGUACUCAAGGCCGACAAUGAGGCACCCUAAAGCAGCCGCACCAGAGGACUAUUAGUGAAUAAAAUGUGUUCCAUUUAGAAAUCCGUGAGGAGCUGUGCAUUACUGUAAAAGCAUGUUGCCUGGUGAUGUGGCUCCAAAAGCUUUACUGACAGCCGACUACUGUGUGCGUGCGUGUGUGACUUGUAUUCUAAUUGUCAUAGACCCCCUCCCACCCCCAAAAAAAACAACAAAAAAAAAAAACUCCACCAACCAUCUGGCGUGACCAGGAAGUAAGUGUGUCAGCGUGACAAGCACAAGAGAAGCGAGAGCGGCGACGUGUCGUGCUUCGUUGCGUCCACACAAAAUAUUUACAUACUAAUUCGCCGGCCUUGUGUCAUGUGGGAAUUGGGCUGUUGUUUACAGGGCGGCUGCGGUGGAGCGGAGAACAAAUAGUUCAUCGCAACUCUUAAAAAGGAGGGUUCCUCCCCCUCCACCCCCCCCCACCCCCACCAACUUCUCACAUUUUGUCCCAUCUCAUUGCCCUAACUCAGAUCUUACGUAACGAGAUGCUGUCACUUUGUUUUUGCCUCCUCUGAGCUCGACGGUGGCGCCUGAAAAGGCUUCGAGGGUUCAACAACCCACUCGGAAUAUAAUCCUGUGUGGGAUUUGAAAAGCAUCAAAGGAGCCUCAUUAAAAAGUCUAAUGGAGGAAGGAGCACUUGACCAAGAAGAAAGGCACCAAUAGCCACUGCCGUGUGCCUCGAUUUUCAUCCAUUGUGGAUUGGUCUGGAUCGAAACGUAUCUCAGGUGUUGACUCAAUUGUAAUCUGGCGAAGCAUCCACGUUAGUUUCAAGUCAAAGACAAGAACACGGCUCGCCACCCGCUGACCUGUCAC